UUGUAGUAUUAAGAGCAGAUCAACGUUUCAUUGAUGAGCCUGAUGAAAGUCCACAAGAGGGACUGAAACGUUGAUCUGCUCUUAAUACUACAAAUAAAAGUUAC
This is a non-coding RNA of Pelobates cultripes (western spadefoot toad), 104 nucleotides long. The record is from the annotation of a GenBank genome assembly. NCBI's taxonomy places the organism in Eukaryota, Metazoa, Chordata, Amphibia, Anura, Pelobatidae.